GACGUAGGGCGCGAGCGUUGUCCGGAUUUAUUGGGCGUAAAGAGCUCGUAGGCGGCUCGUUGCGUCGGCUGUGAAAACCCGCAGCUCAACUGUGGGCUUGCAGCUGAUACGGGCGGGCUGGGAUUCGGUAGGGGAGACUGGAAUUCCUGGUGUAGCGGUGAAAUGCGCAGAUAUCAGGAGGAACACCAGCGGCGAAGGCGGCGCUCUGGGCCGGAACUGACGCUGAGGAGCGAAAGCGUGGGUAGCAAACAGG
RNAcentral lists this ribosomal RNA (253 nucleotides) under uncultured bacterium. RNAcentral describes it as "partial 16S ribosomal RNA". It matches the Rfam family "Bacterial small subunit ribosomal RNA", at positions 524 to 776 of the family's 1533-position model. The record is from RNAcentral.